GCCAAAAAUCUAGCCCCCCCCCCCCAUAGUCUUAUGAAAACCCCCAUCCUAAUUUUCUUUAACUAAAACAUUUUUUCAUCUUAGUAAAGGCGAUUAAAAAAUUACUAGGAGCUAUAUAAAUAGUACCGCAAGGGAAAGAUGAAAUAAAAAUGAAAUAAAUUUCAAGCGUCUCACAGUAGAGAUUAACCCUCGUACCUUUUGCAUCAUGGUUUAACUAGUCUAAUCAAGCAAAACGAUUUUUAGUCUGAUUUCCCGAAACUAGGUGAGCUACUUCAAGACAGCUUAUUGAGCAAACCCGUCUCUGUUGCAAAAGGGUGGGAAGAUCUUCAAGUAGGGGUGAUAGACCUAACGAACCUAGUGAUAGCUGGUUACUCGAGAAAAGGAUUUUAGUCCAACCUAAAGACUUCCCAAUGUCUUAAAAUAACGAAACUACUUUAGAGCUAUUCAAAUAAGGUACAGCCUAUUUGAAACAGGAUACAACCUAAACCGAAGGGUAACUAAUUUUUUAACAACUAAGUAGGCUUAAAAGCAGCCACCUUUAAAAAAGCGUCAAAGCUUUAUUGUGGGCCACAUUAAUACCACUCAUUUUUCAGAACCCUCCCCCACUAUCGAGUAUUUCUAUAUUUUUAUAGAAUAUUUUAUGUUAAAACUAGUAACAAGAAGAAGACCUUCUCUUUAAUACAGGUGUAAAUCAGUAAGGACUAACCGCUGUCUAUUAACAUUCAUGAGAAUAAAUUAGAAACCCAACAAGAAAAACCUAGUUUAUUUUAUGUUAAUCUAACACAAGAGUAUUACAAGAAAGAUUGAAAGAAAAAGAAGGAACUCGGCAAAUAUUAACCCCGCCUGUUUAUCAAAAACAUCGCCUCUUGAUUAACUAUAAGAGGUCCAGCCUGCCCAGUGACCCUGUUUAACGGCCGCGGUAUCCUAACCGUGCGAAGGUAGCGUAAUCACUUGUUCUUUAAAUGAGGACUAGUAUGAAUGGCACCACGAAGGUUAUACUGUCUCCUUUUUCUGAUCAGUGAAACUAAUCUCCCCGUGAAGAAGCGGGGAUACCCCUAUAAGACGAGAAGACCCUAUGGAGCUUUAAACUAAAUUACAAUUGCUUUACUUAAUAUAUAUUUUUAAUAAUCAAUACUUAUUUUAGCUCUAUGGUUUUUAGUUUUAGGUUGGGGUGACCGCGGAGCAAAAUAUAACCUCCACAUUGAAUGGGAUUUUAUCCCUGAGCCGUGAGCCACGACUCUAUGCACCAACAUAUUGACAUCAAUUGACCCAAUAUUUUGAUCAACGAACCAAGUUACCCUAGGGAUAACAGCGCAAUCCUCUUCAAGAGCCCCUAUCGCCAAGAGGGUUUACGACCUCGAUGUUGGAUCAGGGUGUCCCAGUGGUGCAGCCGCUACUAAAGGUUCGUUUGUUCAACGAUUAAAACCCU
This 1429-nucleotide ribosomal RNA is filed under the name Exerodonta melanomma (black-eyed treefrog). Its description in RNAcentral is "partial 16S ribosomal RNA". It matches the Rfam family "Bacterial large subunit ribosomal RNA", at positions 267 to 2597 of the family's 2925-position model. Lineage: Eukaryota; Metazoa; Chordata; Amphibia; Anura; Hylidae. The record is from RNAcentral.